CAUUUUGGCGUCAGGUCGUCCAAAGCCCGCCACACACUUCUGGGAACAUGAAUAUGCUAUUGCAACAGAAAGGCUGUGGACCACUGUAUUAGACCAAUAUUUAUUGAUGUUUUAACGUUUAUUUCUGGUGAAAAUGCAUGAGCCAGAAAGCAUGGUUUGACUUUCUGAUCCCAACUUGGCUCUCGCAGGGUUGCCAGUUAGAAAAGCCACCUUUUUCUUUGUACACUAAGCAAAUCUGAGAUAUCAGUGAGGGGGACAGUAUUCCACCAUGACUUUUACAGAAUAAGUAAUCCAACAAAUUUAAGUGAUAGAUCGCUUCGUUCACUAAAGGUAAAGUGGGGGGAAGGAGGAGAACAGAUAAACACUUAUUUUUAAAAAAAAAAAAAAAAACUCUAUUAUCCCACCCUCCCCAAAUUCACCGUUUUUUUAAUGUACUGGUUACAUAAACGUUUUUUUGUACUCCACAAGUGGCAGCUAGAAAUCUAGUCAAUCAGCAAGGUAAGAGCCUAAAAGGGGGUCACGCGCUCUUGGCAUGGGGUUCACACAGACACUCGUGCUACUCUGAGAUCCCUGGAGAAAGGGGGCUACAGAAGAGCAAAGUGCUUCACAGAUGCGUAGAAACUCAGCCGCGCAGCACACGCGAGGAAGUUGGAUGGCAGAAGCGAUGGACUGAAUCUAAGCAUAAAUCUGAUUAUGGUAAAUUUCAGCUCACAGCAGGAAGAUUCUGAGGAGGUGAAGAAAAGUAUAAAGGAAGCGGAAAAGAAAAUGAAAGAAGUACAGGAAGACUAGUGUAAGAAAAUAUAUAAAGAAGAGAUAAAGGAAGAAGAGAGAGAAAAAGAAGAGGCCGAAAAAGACACAGAUUUCAUCAUCAAACAUGAACUCUAAUGGAACAAAAAUAGUGACACCCUGGUUAUAGUCACCAGGCUGUCUUAAGUAUGAGAAGUACACCAUUCAAUAAUGCACUCUUUUAACUAAAUACGUGUGGUACAUUACAAUUUUGAAAUGAAUGAUCAUACUUUCUGACGUACAUAGAGAAAUAGUUUUAAUUUAGGUCUACUCUGAAAAUUCAAUCCAUACUACUCCCUAGCUACUAAAAAAAAAAAAAAAUUGAAUUGAUUUCUUGUUGUUUUAAACAGGUCAGUUACGCAUUUCCUUGAUUGAUAAAGCCACCAGGCACUUUUAACAUAGACAAUAUGCUUAGGAAAAAGGGAAAUAGAAGAAACUGUUGAUAAAAGCCUUUCAGCACAGUAUUUUGUAAGCGUGUUAGUUCUUGACCCUAAUUUUGGUUGAAUAAUUAUAUAGUACAAUGCUGACAUAUUUAAUUUAUAAUGAAGGCUGUUGUUGUUUCAGCAUCCGUAUCAUUGCUUUCUGUAUUUCUGUUUAUGUACAUGCUGGGUAGUGCAAGUGGUGGCUAAGCCUUUGACAGUUAUAUGUGUCGAAGGUCCUGUUGAAUAAAUGUUUUAGAGACUUCUCUGGUUUAAAAAGUAAUCUUAUGAUAAAAAAAUAAUGUUCAGUAUGAAAGACUGUACUGCUAUAUUCCCUCAGGCUGACUUCUGAGGAGUUAAUUUAUCUUUUAUAUAUGUUUGUACAAUAGUUGUGGGGUAUGAGAUGCAUCAAAUUAAUGAAAUUUCUGGAGAAAAUAUGUUUACAAUCUUCAAUGAAAGGUUAAAUCUUACUUUGAAGUGUUUUUGGAUGUUAUAGACUGUGUUUUAUUGCUGUUGCAUAUCCGGUUGUCAGUACUUCCGUAAAACACAUUUGUUUUGAAGAGAUUUAUUCCGUUUAUUUUUAAAUGUCACAUUCCCAGUUCCUGCCCAACAACACAAUUUGGCCAACCUCUUUUUUUUAUUUUUCAGGCUCUUGUUCAUUUUCAAAAGUGAAGUGUUAUGAGCAAUCCAUAAUGUACUCUUAUUGCUUUUGAUAUUUGGAUUGCCUAGUGAAGAAAUUAAACUUCUGAAAUGCUCAGCCAUAAUCUGGGGUGCAACUGAACUGCAGAAAGCAGAGGUCAGCAGUGUAUGUGCAGAGGUAGCUUAAAACUCAUCUUUGUGCUUCCCUAAUCCUGCUGUUGCUUUGUGCAGGUCUGGUCUCCAUAAACCAUGUUAAGGCAACUUCAGGGCUGCACUAACUUUGACAGGCGGAAAAUGGCCACAAGAGAAAAAAUACAGCAAGGACUGGUAUAGAGCAGGAGCAUUCUGGACAUAUCCCCUUUCCCUCUGGUCACUUUCUCUUUUUCUUACUUAGUCAGCAAUAGUGAAGAGAGUAGCAUAAGAGCCCCUACAUCAACUGUAUGACAUUGGAGAAUCAACUUUAUGCUGCGGUAAUCCUCCCUGAGCGAGUUUAACCACCUUUAGGGCUAGAUACUGCUGUAGUGAGAUGCAAAGCUGUUCCAUAGGACAGGAUCUUGUCCACAGGAUCUAAUUUUGAAAAGUGCUUACUCUCCAUGAACAGUGUGUACUUAGCAAUGUUAGUUAAUAAAUGAGCAAUGCUGUGACAGUUCUCAGGAUACCUAGGGCUGUGAGUCACCUAGUUAGACCCUUGUCUCCACUGUGAGGGAAUCUUGCUUGUGGUUAACUGGUGUCAGCUCCCUGACACCACCUCCCUAUUAGCCACCCAAGCACUCUCCUCUGGAGAAUGCAAGCCCUUCUUUUGCCUUGCAGAUUAACAAUAGUUGCACCCCACUCUUUGAAUCUUUUUGAAGUAUUACCCCUGUGAUGUUCAGCCAUUGAACACUCACAGAAAUACCAGGUCUGUUGUCCCCCAAGAAACAAUGUACACACCAGCUUGUAUGAUUCAACUUAAGAUCAGCACCUCACUUAAUAUCAUAGCAUUAAGAUUAGUUAUCAUGAAAACUAGAAUCAGUUUAUCAAAGAUUCAAGUGAUAGUGAUUAAGAAUAUUGGAAACAAAUGGUUACAUAUAAAACAAAAUCAUAACACACUUUCUAGAAACUAAACUUAACUAACAGGUUAACCUCCUCUCUAAAGAUGUUUAUCUCAUCCCCAAAGCCUUCUGCAGCAUUUCAACCAAGGUUGGCUGAGAUCCCAUUUUCACAAAUGUAAAUGCACUGUCCAAUUACUUCCUAGGUGCAGGAAGAUGGGAUGUCUUCUUUCAUUCAUAGAUAUACCCCCAAAGCUUGUCGUCUUUACACACAGCCAGAAUAACCACCUGUGAUUUGUUUUUCCUGCGUGCUCCUUCCUUGUUGACUUCACAGCUCUUAGUUAUCUUCUGACUUCAUAUGUAAAGGGCAUCCAGUGUGUUAGUUUACAAUGCUUAAUUUACAUUCUGACAGAGAGACAUUUCUUACCUCCUGUUUGGAGGAAAACCUGUUUUUCAUCCUUGCCUUGAUAUAGACAUUAAAACCAUAUUAUCAGUAUAUAAACAUAACUCCUCAUAUACUAAUAACCAGUUUCAGAAUAGCAGCCGUGUUAGUCGGUAUCUGCAAAAAAGAACAGGAGGACUUGUGGCACCUUAGAAACGAACAAAUUUAUUUGAGCAUAAGCUUUUGUGGGCUACAGCUUCAAGUUGAAAAGUAUGCCUUUCAUACCGCUUAUAGAGUGUCUACCUUAUGUACUAAGUAUGAUGUAUUGUGUUUUGUGACUAAAACUGUGCAACAACCCCAUUGUAGUAUUAUUGUGGGCAUGUUAUUGCUUGUAUUGUUAUUUGGUUUAGGGUCAUGUUACUGUUGUUGUAAAGGACGAAAUAAUAAUAAUACUUUCCAUGUCCACACUAACCCUGCAUUGUCAUUGUAUCCAGUUAAAACCCCUAAGGUUGAAGUAUUUGAUGCAGAGUUUGAAAUACAAAAUUUAAUGAAAAUGGAAGUUUAAAAUUGAUAGUUGCUCUGGAAGCACAAAAGGGGGGAGUGUGGAAGUAGAUAAAGGGAAUUUGGAUGCAGGCCUCUGAAUGAGCAGGAGUCAGGCUAACUCUAGCUUUAAUAACGCGAGAUUUGUAGAAGCGGGGAUAGUGCGAAGCGAGUGGAAAACAACUGUGAAAGAGGCUGUUGUGACCUCGUAUUAGAUAAGAAUAGAAUGCAGACUAUAAGAGAAAUGGUAAGAAAAAUAAGAUAUCAUGAAGGAAUAUGUAUAAAUAUGCAGUCGUUGCUUAUUAUUGUCUGUAAUAAAGGUAUAAAUACUUGCUCAAAUUGUUUAUCUGAGAGAGACCUGCCUAGGUGUGGGAAACCCUGUGUCCUAGUGCACUCCCUCCCUCUGUACAAUUGCUUGAGAUAAUAAACUGUAUCUGACUUGCU
Chelonia mydas (Green sea turtle) is the source of this 4238-nucleotide long non-coding RNA. RefSeq lists it as uncharacterized. Lineage: Eukaryota; Metazoa; Chordata; Testudines; Cheloniidae. The transcript has 3 exons. The record is from RefSeq and is a predicted model, not a curated record.